UAUCAUAUAUUCAUUGCGGGAAUUAGAUGGUAUGAGGUUAAAGAUAUCUGUUAUUGGAAAGCGAGUAAAGAUUUUCAAAAGAUGACAUAGAGAAAUCAAUAUGGAGGAUCAUACUCAAGAUAUCAAUAUUUUUGAAGAAGAUAAUUGUUUUAAAAUGGAUGGUGAAGAUAAUGAUGAAGGAUUCGAUGCAAAAAAUGAAGAGAUGGUGUGAUGCUAAUUAUGACAUAUAAUUUAUUUGGCACAUGUCAGAGGAUGUAUAGGUUAAGAGUUUGUG
This 274-nucleotide long non-coding RNA is filed under the name Physcomitrium patens. RNAcentral describes it as "long non-coding RNA (PPAT_LNC012430)". Lineage: Eukaryota; Viridiplantae; Streptophyta; Bryopsida; Funariales; Funariaceae. The record is from RNAcentral.